RNAcentral lists this non-coding RNA (103 nucleotides) under Vibrio hippocampi. RNAcentral describes it as "TPP". It matches the Rfam family "TPP riboswitch aptamer (THI element)". Rfam says of the family: Vitamin B(1) in its active form thiamin pyrophosphate (TPP) is an essential coenzyme that is synthesised by coupling of pyrimidine and thiazole moieties in bacteria. The previously detected thiamin-regulatory element, thi box was extended, resulting in a new, highly conserved RNA secondary structure, the THI element, which is widely distributed in eubacteria and also occurs in some archaea. Analysis of operon structures identified a large number of new candidate thiamin-regulated genes, mostly transporters, in various prokaryotic organisms. Lineage: Bacteria; Pseudomonadati; Pseudomonadota; Gammaproteobacteria; Vibrionales; Vibrionaceae. The record is from RNAcentral.
CAAUACUUGUCGGAGUGCCCUUUUUUGGGCUGAGACCGUUAAUUCGGGAUCCGUUGAACCUGAUUAGAUUAGCAUCUACGAAGGGAACAAGAGUUCGGAGAUC